This 443-nucleotide ribosomal RNA is filed under the name uncultured bacterium. RNAcentral's name for it is "partial 16S ribosomal RNA". It matches the Rfam family "Bacterial small subunit ribosomal RNA", at positions 338 to 795 of the family's 1533-position model. The record is from RNAcentral.
CCUACGGGGGGCAGCAGUGGGGAAUAUUGGGCAAUGGGCGCAAGCCUGACCCAGCAACGCCGCGUGAAGGAAGAAGGCUUUCGGGUUGUAAACUCCUUUUCUGAGGGACGAAGAAAGUGACAGUACCUCAGGAAUAAGCCACGGCGAACUAAGUGCCAGCAGCCGCUGUAAUACGUCGGGGUCAAGAGUUAUCCGGAUGUAUUGGGUUUAAAGAGCGGGUAGGCGGGAAUGCAAGUUAGAUGGUAAAACUCUGGGCUCAACCCUGAGCCUGCCUUUGACACUGUUUGUCUUGAGUGCGGGAGAGGCAAUCGGAAUUCCGUGUGUAGCGGUGAAAGGCGUAGAUAUAAGGAGGAACACCAGUGGCGAAGGCGGAAUGCUGGACCGUAACUGACGCUGAGGCGCGAAAGCGUGGGGAGCAAACAGGAUUAGAUACCCGAGUAGUC